ACGUAAGGUAGUAUGAUAUGUUGAACAUAUCUCAUAUAGCAUCAUACGUAAGGUAGUAUGAUAUGUUGAACAUAUCCCAUAUAGCAUCAUACGUAAGGUAGUAUGAUAUGUUGAACAUAUCUCAUAUAGCAUCAUACGUAAGGUAGUAUGAUAUGUUGAACAUAUCUCAUAUAGCAUCAUACGUAAGGUGGUAUGAUAUGUUGAACAUAUCUCAUAUAGCAUCAUACGUAAGGUGGUAUGAUAUGUUGAACAUAUCCCAUAUAGCAUCAUACGUAAGAUAGUAUGAUAUGUUGAACUUAAUUAAUUUAAGGAUACAUAACAGGGUACAUUGGUACAAUUAAAGACAUACAGAACUUGCUACCUUUCUGAAAACACACGUUGCAGAUGACAUGACCACAGGUAGUAACAGCUAGUUUGCGGUCAGGACCAGGGAGGUUGAAGCAGGAGUUACAGCAGAUCCAGGGUUUCAGGUUGUACUCCAUAGUCUGGGCCUUGUCUUUGUGUCUCAGCACUGGGGUCAACAUCAAAAUGAAUCCUCUGCAUUGGAAAUAUCAGAACAAUAUUCAAAUAUGGUUGUGGAGCAACACAGUCCAGCAGACUCAGUGCAUGGAGGAACUCACGAGCCUGUCACCGGCGAAAAUGAAAAACCUUAGAAUCGAGUUGGACUGCAUGCACAACAAUGUGGGCCAGAGGCAUGGGAUGUGACUUAGGAUUUUCCAAAUCUGUCAUGCUUUUUUAAUUAAUAUCUAGAAGAAAAAUGGCAUGGUGGUCUGGAUCACAGUGAUAGUGAGGCCAAGAGGGGAGUUAGGGUUCUUUUUCCCAAUACUCCAAAAGAAAAUGACCUGAGAAAAACACAACACAGACAGCCGAUAUUCCACAUGUUUUAUUAUAUCUAAUGUGCUUAAAAUUGCUUUGGAGUAAGCCAUUAUUACAGAAAAAGUAGAGAUGAUUUUGCAAAUUAAGCCUGCAAAUACUAAUAGAAUACUACUGACUUGCCUAGUUAAAUAAAGGUUCAAUUAAAAAUGUAAUAGAAUAUCAAACAAGUGCCAUAUGCCUCCUGGUUGACUUUAUCAUGAUCUCUGCUAACCCAAUGAACUUUUUAAUUGGUUUACUUCAUCAUGAUCUCUGCUAACUCAUGUAACUUUUGAAAUGGUUGACUUCAUCAUGAUCUCUGCUAAUCCAUGGAACUUUUUAAACCACCUGCCCAUAGAACUCACCUGUCAACCAUGCAGAACAAUGUCCUCCUCUCCACCUGCCCAUAAAACUGACCUGUGAUCAGCAUGUUACCAAAUCAAAUCAAAUCAAAUCUGGAAUCUGGAAUCUCCUUGAUGAGGCACUUUUGCUAAUGUUCACCCAGAUCAAAGUACAUAACAGCCAUCAGUGCCAGGUAACACAGAACCCACAUCCCAAUGCCCCUCGCAUUCAUUUUGACACACAGUAUGUGACAAAGUUAAAUGAGUAUAAUGAGCCUUAUGGUUGCUAGUGUGCAGGCGACAACUCUGGUGUGAGAAACUGACACCUGCUGUUGCUGCGACCGACCGUCCAAACUGUGCGUCUGAGUGGGUACCCAAGGUCAGCAGAGAAACUGAUAAGCCUGACCAGUAGUAGAAGCCCACAUGUACUGAUAAAGACACAUGCAAUUGUUCACUUAUUAACUAGUGUGCACUGUACCAUCAUGAAACCUACACUCUUAGAAAAAAGGGUUCCAAAAGGGUUCUUCAGCUGUCCCCAUAGGAAACCCCUUUAGGGUUCCAUAAAGAAUCAUCUGUGGAAAGUGUUCUACAUAGAACCAAAAAGGGUUCUACCUGGAACCAAAAGGAGCUCUUCAAAGUAUUUCCUUAUGGGGACAGCUGAAGAACCCUUUUAGGUUCUAGAUAGCACCUUUUUCCCCUAAGAUUGUACUCGCAUAGUAUCUGCAAAAACUGUCCUCCGUCAAAAGCCAAGAAUCUGUCUAUUUUUCCUGUUACUUUUCCCAGUAAUUUUCCAUCAUUUGUCAUUGGUUUGAAAUAAGACCAACACUUGAGAAACAAGCAGAAAUAUAUGAAGUGGAAGGCACCAAUGGCCCAGAUGUAGGGUAUGAUUGCUAUUUCUUGGAAUGUUCCAGCGUCAGUCUAUUUCUCAGGUUUUCUGUAGCUUAGGUAGCUUAGGUAGCUUUAGGUAGCUUAGGGGUUAGGGAAGAGCUUAUCCUGUGACAUGGCAUGAUGAAGUAUGUCAGGUAUGACUAAUGAAAGCUUUGGCAUAGAUAGCAAACAACAUCAAUGAGUAACAAAGAUUUUCAUGACAGGGACACUCCUUUGAGAUCGUUGUGUUUCGUAGGCCUAUUUUAUGCUGUGGUGUAUGCUGUUGUGUAGCAUGAUGUAUUUUGUUGAUUGUAUGAAAUAUUGUUGCUUUACAUCAAUUAGAAAUAAAAUUGCAAUCAACUUA
This is a long non-coding RNA of Oncorhynchus keta (chum salmon), 2424 nucleotides long. RefSeq lists it as uncharacterized. The transcript is spliced from 4 exons. NCBI's taxonomy places the organism in Eukaryota, Metazoa, Chordata, Actinopteri, Salmoniformes, Salmonidae. The record is from RefSeq and is a predicted model, not a curated record.